This is an RNA transcript of Erigeron canadensis, 1664 nucleotides long. It is a transcript of the gene named UPF0496 protein At4g34320-like, with no coding region annotated. NCBI's taxonomy places the organism in Eukaryota, Viridiplantae, Streptophyta, Magnoliopsida, Asterales, Asteraceae. The transcript has 3 exons. The record is from RefSeq and is a predicted model, not a curated record.
UUCACAUUUCAACACUUUAGCCCAGGAUCUCCAAAAACAAAAAAAAUAUCCCAUAUAUCAUCAUUCAUUAUUUCAUUUCCAAGUUAAUUUUCACACAAAACCUCUCAAAAUGGGCUGCAUUCAUAGCACCCCAGAUUCUAUCAACACUCACAAAAACACAAUCUCAUCAUCAUCAUCAUCAUCAUCAAACAACCCAUCAUUAUCUAAACUCCAUCUAACCCCUGAUCUAACAUCUUACCAAGAAGCAUGCAGAUCAGAUCCCGAGUUACAAUCAUUUGACUCAGCUCUCCAAUACAAAACCAGCCGAGUCAUCAACUCACUUGCAGUAGGUGUAGAAGUACGUUCACUUUCACUAGAUUCACUCCAAGAAGUCACUACAAGUUUACUUGACAUGAACCAAGAAGUUGUAAACAUUUUGAUAGAAUCUAAAGAAGAUAUAUGGAAUAAUGAUGAAUUAUUUUCCUUAGUUAAAGAUUUCUUUGACCUUAGUUUAUUAACUCUAGAUUUUAUUACAUCUUUAGAAGACUGUUUAAAAAAUGCUAGACAUAGUUUAUCUUUUUUAACUAUUGCCUUUAAUAAAUUUGAUCAAGAUAAGGAUUACUUAAAUACCCUUCAACAGUUUAAGCAGUUUGAGAGUUUAGACAGCCCGUUUUCGCCGCAGUUUUUCGAGUUGUUUCAGUCUGUUUAUAAGCAACAGGUUUCUAUGUUAAGAAAAUUGAAUGUGCAAAAAAGGAAAGUUGAUAAGAAGUUGAAAAGGGCGGUUAUGUGGAGACGGUUGACUAAUGUUAUAUUUGUGAUCACUUUUAGUACUGUUUUGAUAUGUUCUGUGGUCGCGGCUGCUGUGGCUGCACCUCCGUUGGUGACGGCACUUGCAGCCGCGGCUGUAGUGCCGUUAGGGUCGAUGGGGAAAUGGGUUAACUCGUUAUGGAAGAAAUAUGAGACGGGUUUGAAAGGGCAAAGGGAGUUGAUUAAUGCAAUGAGAAUGGGGAAUUUUAUCGCGAUUAAGGAUUUAGAUAAUAUUAAGGCUUUGGUUGAUAAGUUAGGGGUUGAGAUGGAGGGUUUGGUGCAGAACGUGCAGUUUGCUGUUAAUGAAGAGGAGGAAGAGGCGGUUGCAGUGGCAGUUGAGGAAAUGAAGAAAACGGUUAAUGAUUUUGCUAAGACGAUUGAUGAUUUGAGUGAUCAUUCGAAUAAAUGUAGUAGGGAUGUGAGGAGAGCGAGAACUGUGAUUGUGCAGAAGAUCACGAAGCAUCCUAGUGGCUCGGUUUAGGUAUCUAGGUAUUAGGCAAGGGAUCUGGUGGAGGCUUGGCUUCAGUAAAAGAAAAAUGAGAGGAAAGAUUUACAGGACUUUAUCUUGGUAUUAGUGGAAGGCAUAAACAACUGUCAGAUAAACUUGAAAUUCUGGGCUGCAGACUUCAGCUUGAACUUGCAUCAAUGUCAAACCAAUAUAUUGACCCAUUGCAAUGUAACCUUAAAUCACUGGGAGAAAAGGAAAGAGAAACAAACUUAACAUGAAGAAAUCCGCUUAAUCAACCAAAACAACCCGCGAAUGGUAACCCAACAUCCUGUUUUCACACUUUAUGUGUAGUUGCUGUAACAAUCUGGUGAGCUGAACUUUAACUUGUCUGAAACCGUGCUUAACUCUUUAUAGGAGAUGGUUCUAUGGA